RNAcentral lists this transfer RNA (65 nucleotides) under Acerella muscorum. Its description in RNAcentral is "tRNA-Tyr". The record is from RNAcentral. Lineage: Eukaryota; Metazoa; Arthropoda; Protura; Acerentomata; Acerentomidae.
AAUAAGAUGUCUGAAGAUUUAGGUCUGAACUGUAAAUUCAAUUAUGUGUUAAAAUACUCUUAUUA